Molecule: ribosomal RNA, 465 nt
Filed under: uncultured Klebsiella sp.
Lineage: Bacteria; Pseudomonadati; Pseudomonadota; Gammaproteobacteria; Enterobacterales; Enterobacteriaceae
Description: bacterial SSU rRNA
Rfam family: Bacterial small subunit ribosomal RNA
Source: RNAcentral
CCUACGGGCGGCUGCAGUGGGGAAUAUUGCACAAUGGGCGCAAGCCUGAUGCAGCCAUGCCGCGUGUGUGAAGAAGGCCUUCGGGUUGUAAAGCACUUUCAGCGGGGAGGAAGGCGGUGAGGUUAAUAACCUCAUCGAUUGACGUUACCCGCAGAAGAAGCACCGUCUAACUCCGUGCCAGCAGCCGCGGUAAUACGGAGGGUGCAAGCGUUAAUCGGAAUUACUGGGCGUAAAGCGCACGCAGGCGGUCUGUCAAGUCGGAUGUGAAAUCCCCGGGCUCAACCUGGGAACUGCAUUCGAAACUGGCAGGCUAGAGUCUUGUAGAGGGGGGUAGAAUUCCAGGUGUAGCGGUGAAAUGCGUAGAGAUCUGGAGGAAUACCGGUGGCGAAGGCGGCCCCCUGGACAAAGACUGACGCUCAGGUGCGAAAGCGUGGGGAGCAAACAGGAUUAGAUACCCUAGUAGUC